Molecule: ribosomal RNA, 390 nt
Filed under: Vibrio parahaemolyticus
Lineage: Bacteria; Pseudomonadati; Pseudomonadota; Gammaproteobacteria; Vibrionales; Vibrionaceae
Description: bacterial SSU rRNA
Rfam family: Bacterial small subunit ribosomal RNA
Source: RNAcentral
GUGCCAGCAGCCGCGGUAAUACGUAGGGUGCAAGCGUUAAUCGGAAUUACUGGGCGUAAAGCGUGCGCAGGCGGUUUUGUAAGACAGAGGUGAAAUCCCCGGGCUCAACCUGGGAACUGCCUUUGUGACUGCAAGGCUGGAGUGCGGCAGAGGGGGAUGGAAUUCCGCGUGUAGCAGUGAAAUGCGUAGAUAUGCGGAGGAACACCGAUGGCGAAGGCAAUCCCCUGGGCCUGCACUGACGCUCAUGCACGAAAGCGUGGGGAGCAAACAGGAUUAGAUACCCUGGUAGUCCACGCCCUAAACGAUGCGAACUGGAUGUAGGUCUCAACUCGGAGAUCUGUGUCGAAGCCAACGCGUUAAGUUCGCCGCCUGGGGAGUACGGUCGCAAGA